Molecule: long non-coding RNA, 634 nt
Organism: Solea solea (common sole)
Lineage: Eukaryota; Metazoa; Chordata; Actinopteri; Pleuronectiformes; Soleidae
Exons: 3
Source: RefSeq, a predicted model, not a curated record
CACUGUUGAACGAAGAUGAACGAGGACAAACAUUUGACAGAAGAACUAAAUGUUUGUCUGUACUUCUGAACGAAGGCAGAGACUUCCGGUCACGCGGGCUCCGCUCUCACUGCUGAUGUGCUCGCGGACUUUAUGCUAACGCGUUAGCAUUUAAGCUAGCGCACUUUCUCCGGAGUUUAUUGACAAACGGAUGGAUUAUUUAAUCCCGAACGAGAGUGACAGGACAUGGGAAUAACUGGACACGCUGAGGUGAAGAGAAACACUCGUUGUGAGAUGACGACAUGACGUCAGCGAUGAAAAAGAAAAGAAGAAGAAAGCACGAACCUCUUAUUCACCUUCUAUCUUCUUAUGGGGUGGUUCUCGAUACAGUCAAAUGAAGAAGUGAGUACCGGACACUAUCGGCUCACUUCACGCCUGCAAAUCAAGACAAAAAGAAACAGAUCGGCAUGUGAAGCCCUGUUCUUGCCACCUUCUCAUACACUCCUAAUGGAAGCAGGACAAAGAGCUGGCUGUGCCAUUUCCUUGGAAAUUAGCAGCCUUUGGAUGUGUCUCAUUUAAACACAAGAAAAGCAUGGGGGGCUCUGAACUGAGGCUGACUUCUGUGUGUGUGUGUGUGUGUGUGCACGUGUGUGUG